RNAcentral lists this small nuclear RNA (164 nucleotides) under Peromyscus maniculatus bairdii (prairie deer mouse). Its description in RNAcentral is "U1 spliceosomal RNA (ENSPEMG00000003534.2)". It matches the Rfam family "U1 spliceosomal RNA". Rfam says of the family: U1 is a small nuclear RNA (snRNA) component of the spliceosome (involved in pre-mRNA splicing). Its 5' end forms complementary base pairs with the 5' splice junction, thus defining the 5' donor site of an intron. Lineage: Eukaryota; Metazoa; Chordata; Mammalia; Rodentia; Cricetidae. The record is from Rfam by way of RNAcentral.
GUACUUACAUGGCAAGGAGAAAUACCAUGAUCAGGAAGGUGCUUUUCUCAGGCCAAGGCUUAUCCAUUAUACUCUGGAAGUGCUGACUCGGACGAUUUCCCCCAAAUAGAGAAAACUUGACUGUAUAAUGUGUGGUAGUAGGGACUGCAUUUGAGCUCUCUUUU